This 108-nucleotide non-coding RNA is filed under the name Peromyscus maniculatus bairdii (prairie deer mouse). The record is from RNAcentral. Lineage: Eukaryota; Metazoa; Chordata; Mammalia; Rodentia; Cricetidae.
AAAAAGAAAGAAAGGAGAGAAGGUUAGCACUCCCCUUGACAAGGAUGGAAGAGGCCCUUGGGCCUAACAACACACAUAUGGCUAAGGCAUUACCACCCACUUCAUUCC